RNAcentral lists this microRNA precursor (131 nucleotides) under Marchantia polymorpha subsp. ruderalis. The record is from RNAcentral. Lineage: Eukaryota; Viridiplantae; Streptophyta; Marchantiopsida; Marchantiales; Marchantiaceae.
CGAACUUCUCUGGCAGGUGCUCGAUAUAAAUCUGGUGCCUAUCAAGGAAAUUAAACUGUUUCCACGACUGAGAUCUGCAUCCGAAUUUCCUUGAUGAGCACCGGAUUCAUGUCGAGAACGUGCAGAGCGCG